Molecule: ribosomal RNA, 253 nt
Filed under: uncultured bacterium
Lineage: Bacteria
Description: partial 16S ribosomal RNA
Rfam family: Bacterial small subunit ribosomal RNA
Source: RNAcentral
UACGAAGGGGGCUAGCGUUGCUCGGAAUCACUGGGCGUAAAGGGUGCGUAGGCGGGUCUUUAAGUCAGGGGUGAAAUCCUGGAGCUCAACUCCAGAACUGUCUCUGAUACUGAGGAUCUUGAGUACGGGAGAGGUGAGUGGAACUGCGAGUGUAGAGGUGAAAUUCGUAGAUAUUCGCAAGAACACCAGUGGCGAAGGCGGCUCACUGGCCCGUUACUGACGCUGAGGCACGAAAGCGUGAGGAGCAAACAGG